ACACCCUCAAGCCCUGCUUGGUGUUGGGUGCCUGUCCCGCCCCGCGCGGCGACUCACCCCAAAUGCAUUGGCGGCGGCGCCUUGCCCCUCCCGCGCAGCACAUUGCGCUUCUCGAGGCGGCGGGACCGCGUUCCACGAAGCCGACAACCCGU
This 152-nucleotide unclassified non-coding RNA is filed under the name Didymosphaeriaceae sp. RNAcentral's name for it is "partial internal transcribed spacer 2". RNAcentral also lists the same sequence under 1 other name. The record is from RNAcentral. Lineage: Eukaryota; Fungi; Ascomycota; Dothideomycetes; Pleosporales; Didymosphaeriaceae.